RNAcentral lists this ribosomal RNA (497 nucleotides) under uncultured bacterium. RNAcentral describes it as "partial 16S ribosomal RNA". It matches the Rfam family "Bacterial small subunit ribosomal RNA", at positions 28 to 507 of the family's 1533-position model. The record is from RNAcentral.
GAUGAACGCUGGCGGCGUGCCUAAUACAUGCAAGUCGAGCGAACAGACGAGGAGCUUGCUCCUCUGACGUUAGCGGCGGACGGGUGAGUAACACGUGGAUAACCUACCUAUAAGACUGGGAUAACUUCGGGAAACCGGAGCUAAUACCGGAUAAUAUAUUGAACCGCAUGGUUCAAUAGUGAAAGACGGUUUUCCUUUAACUAUUGGUUGAUUCCGCGCCGCAUUAGCUAGUUGGUAAGGUAACGGCUUACCAAGGCAACGAUGCGUAGCCGACCUGAGAGGGUGAUCGGCCACACUGGAACUGAGACACGGUCCAGACUCCUACGGGAGGCAGCAGUAGGGAAUCUUCCGCAAUGGGCGAAAGCCUGACGGAGCAACGCCGCGUGAGUGAUGAAGGUCUUCGGAUCGUAAAACUCUGUUAUUAGGGAAGAACAAAUGUGUAAGUAACUAUGCACGUCUUGACGGUACCUAAUCAGAAAGCCACGGCUAACUACGUG